RNAcentral lists this ribosomal RNA (433 nucleotides) under uncultured bacterium. RNAcentral describes it as "partial 16S ribosomal RNA". It matches the Rfam family "Bacterial small subunit ribosomal RNA", at positions 29 to 507 of the family's 1533-position model. The record is from RNAcentral.
AACGAACGCUGGCGGCAUGCCUAACACAUGCAAGUCGAACGAGACCUUCGGGUCUAGUGGCGCACGGGUGCGUAACGCGUGGUAACCUGCCCUUAGGUUCGGAAUAACUCCCCUAAAGGGGUGCUAAUACCGGAUAAUGUCUUCGGACCAAAGAUUUAUCGCCUUUUGAUGGGCCCGAGUUGGAUUAGCUAGUUGGUAGGGUAAAAGCCUACCAAGGCGACGAUCCAUAGCUGGUCUGAGAGGAUGAUCAGCCACACUGGGACUGAGACACGGCCCAGACUCCUACGGGAGGCAGCAGUGGGGAAUAUUGGACAAUGGGCGAAAGCCUGAUCCAGCAAUGCCGCGUGAGUGAUGAAGGCCUUAGGGUUGUAAAGCUCUUUUACCCGGGAUGAUAAUGACAGUACCGGGAGAAUAAGCUCCGGCUAACUCCGUG